Molecule: long non-coding RNA, 472 nt
Organism: Peromyscus leucopus (white-footed mouse)
Lineage: Eukaryota; Metazoa; Chordata; Mammalia; Rodentia; Cricetidae
Exons: 2
Source: RefSeq, a predicted model, not a curated record
UCCCAGCCUCUCCCCCUUCCUUCUCCGCUCUCUCGCUCUCUGUGAUUUAUUACUUGCCCUGCUGCUUCUGACAAACUAUUUGUAGGAAAAUGAGAUUUGGUCCGCGCUGGAUGGUUCCUCUGGGAGGCAGGCGUGGGGGUCGGGUGUCGGAGGCCCCGUGUGGCGCCCCCGCCGGAGCCCCACGGCGCUUACGGAGCUCUUUAAGAUAAAUGAGCAAAAUUAAGAGACUCACUGGGGGAAGAAAACCCUGGCUGGCAGCGAGUGAGAGCGGAUGGCAGGUGAGAGAAGCACAUGGAGGAAAGCGACAGGAGGCGCAGCUCAGUGGCAGAGCAUCGGUCGGCAUGGAAACAGUCCUCUGAAAGUCUCCAACACGAAGGGGGAAAAGAGCCUAAAAGCCACCCGUUGUUUCUACUAUUGAUAGUUCGAUCUUUUUCUAAAUUUGACAUUUGUAUUAAAACUAGUAUGCUGUAAA